AUGCUAGUGGCGCACGGGUGAGUAACGCGUAACUGACCUGCCCCCAAGUCGCGGAUAACGUCUCGAAAGAGACGCUAAUACGUGAUGUGCAGUGCCGCUGUGGCGGCACUGUAAAGACUGGAUCGCUUGGGGAUGGGGUUGCGUUUCAUCAGCUGGUUGGUGGGGUAAAGGCCUACCAAGGCGACGACGAAUAGCCGGCCUGAGAGGGUGGCCGGCCACAGGGGCACUGAGACACGGGCCCC
RNAcentral lists this ribosomal RNA (242 nucleotides) under uncultured bacterium. Its description in RNAcentral is "partial 16S ribosomal RNA". It matches the Rfam family "Bacterial small subunit ribosomal RNA", at positions 89 to 334 of the family's 1533-position model. The record is from RNAcentral.